UGAGGAAUAUUGGUCAAUGGACGCAAGUCUGAACCAGCCAAGUAGCGUGCAGGUUGACGGCCCUAUGGGUUGUAAACUGCUUUUAUAUGGGGAUAAAGUGGGGAACGUGUUCCCUUUUGCAGGUACCAUAUGAAUAAGGACCGGCUAAUUCCGUGCCAGCAGCCGCGGUAAUACGGAAGGUUCGGGCGUUAUCCGGAUUUAUUGGGUUUAAAGGGAGCGUAGGCCGUUUGGUAAGCGUGUUGUGAAAUGUAGGAGCUCAACUUCUAGAUUGCAGCGCGAACUGUCAGACUUGAGUGCGCACAACGUAGGCGGAAUUCAUGGUGUAGCGGUGAAAUGCUUAGAUAUCAUGAAGAACUCCGAUUGCGAAGGCAGCUUACGGGAGCGCAACUGACGCUGAAGCUCGAAGGUGCGGGUAUCGAACAGG
This 424-nucleotide ribosomal RNA is filed under the name Verrucomicrobiota bacterium. RNAcentral's name for it is "Verrucomicrobia bacterium partial 16S ribosomal RNA". It matches the Rfam family "Bacterial small subunit ribosomal RNA", at positions 355 to 776 of the family's 1533-position model. Lineage: Bacteria; Pseudomonadati; Verrucomicrobiota. The record is from RNAcentral.